GGACUACCAGGGUUUCUAAUCCUGUUUGCUCCCCUAGCUUUCGUUCCUCAGCGUCAGUUGUGGUCCAGCGCGCCGCUUUCGCCACGGGUGUUCCUGCAGAUAUCUACGCAUUUCACCGCUACACCUGCAAUUCCACGCGCCUCUCCCACACUCGAGCACAGCAGUUUCGGAAGCAGCCUUUGAGUUAAGCCCAAAGAUUUCACUCCCGACUUGCCACACCGCCUACGAACCCUUUACACCCAGUAAUUCCGAACAACGCUGGCCCCCUACGUCUUACCGCGGCGGCUGGCAC
This 292-nucleotide ribosomal RNA is filed under the name uncultured Acidobacteriota bacterium. Its description in RNAcentral is "uncultured Acidobacteria bacterium partial 16S ribosomal RNA". Lineage: Bacteria; Pseudomonadati; Acidobacteriota. The record is from RNAcentral.